Oncorhynchus gorbuscha (pink salmon) is the source of this 661-nucleotide long non-coding RNA. RefSeq lists it as uncharacterized. NCBI's taxonomy places the organism in Eukaryota, Metazoa, Chordata, Actinopteri, Salmoniformes, Salmonidae. The transcript has 3 exons. The record is from RefSeq and is a predicted model, not a curated record.
AGGUAUUUACACAUGUUAUAUUUUGUAUUGUAUUUUUGUAUUUUGUUCGCCCAGUAUGAAAAUGCGAUGCAAGGGGUUUUGCCAUCGACAGCCAUCAAUACCGUUAAGCCCUGCACAACUAACGUGCUGUUUCCCAUUUAACAACAGAAAUAAAGGCUCAACUGGGACCACUGGCCGAAGUGAUUUAUUUUGAGAAAACGCAUGGAGUACAUUAUACAUCUUACACUGGUGCCGUGACCCGGAUCACUGGUUGCUGCGGAAAAAGGAGGAAGGUCAAAAGGGGGCCUGACCCAGAUGAGUGCAAUGCUGUUGCUGAAGUGACUGGAAUUCGAAUGGCAUUGACCCCAAUGACACAAUUGUGAACAGACUGUGGUCCACGCUGUAGGAACACUAGCCGCUUGAGGCGGAUCAAGUAGAGUCACAUAGAGGACAAAGAGGAGCAGCAAGGAGAAGAGGAGAUGGGAUCCUGAGGGAGCUGGAUGGAUUACAGUCAUGUUAACAAAUAAUAAAACCAGGGUUGAAUUCUCUUCAUUUAGCAGAGAAAGUUACUUUAUUUCAGCAUCACACAUACAGCAAGACAUAUAGCAAAAACUGUGUUAUAACUGGUUUCGUUCUGAGAUUUCCCUCAAAUGUAAUUGUUCAAAUACGAAAUGUUAAUUUU